RNAcentral lists this ribosomal RNA (478 nucleotides) under uncultured bacterium. RNAcentral describes it as "partial 16S ribosomal RNA". It matches the Rfam family "Bacterial small subunit ribosomal RNA", at positions 28 to 507 of the family's 1533-position model. The record is from RNAcentral.
GAUGAACGCUGGCGGCGUGCUUAACACAUGCAAGUCGAACGGGAAACCUUUUAUUGAAGCUUCGGCAGAUUUAGCUGGUUUCUAGUGGCGGACGGGUGAGUAACGCGUGGGUAACCUGCCUUAUACAGGGGGAUAACAGUCAGAAAUGGCUGCUAAUACCGCAUAAGCGCACAGAGCUGCAUGGCUCAGUGUGAAAAACUCCGGUGGUAUAAGAUGGACCCGCGUUGGAUUAGCCGGUUGGUGGGGUAACGGCCCACCAAGGCGACGAUCCAUAGCCGGCCCGAGAGGGUGAACGGCCACAUUGGGACUGAGACACGGCCCAGACUCCUACGGGAGGCAGCAGUGGGGAAUAUUGCACAAUGGGGGAAACCCUGAUGCAGCGACGCCGCGUGAAGGAAGAAGUAUCUCGGUAUGUAAACUUCUAUCAGCAGGGAAGAUAAUGACGGUACCUGACUAAGAAGCCCCGGCUAACUACGUG